This 505-nucleotide long non-coding RNA is filed under the name Mytilus galloprovincialis (Mediterranean mussel). Lineage: Eukaryota; Metazoa; Mollusca; Bivalvia; Mytilida; Mytilidae. The record is from RNAcentral.
GGUCACCGGACACAUUUUUAGGCCAGGUGAGCUAAAAAAGUGUACUUAACUUAUAUUACCUUAUUUAUAACUUAUAAUGAUAAAUUUCAUUGAUAAAAUGUAUGUCUGUAUAAAUGACUUGUAUAUCAAUAAUAGCAACAAAAAGUAUAUUUUCAUACAUUUAAUUUUUUUUUAAAAACUUAUUCAAACUUUUGAGUGAAAAUUAUUAUGUAUGAGAUGAAGAACAGCAAUAAAAGCACUGUUCCUUUCUUUUGUUCGUUUAUUUAUGCUGUCUAUGUACUGAUUUUGUGUUCUGGAUGGAUAUUCCUGUGUGCAUAUUCUUUGUUUACCUAUUAAACUGUAGCACUAGGUCUAUCAAAGAUGAAUACCGCUGUAUACUUUAAUGUCCAAAUCAUAAUAGUAGUCAAAUCUGAGAAAAGUUUAUCAAAAAGAAUUUUUGGAGAAAUUCAUCAUCAAAAAACUAAUCCAGAAGCUUUCGGUCUCAAACAUUUAUGAUUUUUUUUUU